UACGUAGGGGGCGAGCGUUGUCCGGAUUCAUUGGGCGUAAAGAGCUCGUAGGCGGCUUGGUAAGUCGGGUGUGAAACCUCCAGGCUCAACCUGGAGACGCCACUCGAUACUGCCAUGGCUAGAGUCCGGUAGGGGCCCACGGAAUUCCUGGUGUAGCGGUGAAAUGCGCAGAUAUCAGGAGGAACACCGGUGGCGAAGGCGGCGACUGGGACCGA
Molecule: ribosomal RNA, 215 nt
Filed under: uncultured bacterium
Lineage: Bacteria
Description: partial 16S ribosomal RNA
Rfam family: Bacterial small subunit ribosomal RNA
Source: RNAcentral